CGGAUGAACGUUGGCGGCGUGCCUAAUACAUGCAAGUCGAACGAAGACUGUAGUAAUACUGUCUUAGUGGCGAACGGGUGAGUAACGCGUGGGUGACCUGCCCCGAAGUGUGGGAUAACAGCUCGAAAGGGCUGCUAAUACCUCAUGUGAUCAUUUGGAUUAGAACCCUUAUGAUGAAAGGAGCUUGCUCCACUUUGGGAGGGGCCUGCGUACCAUCAGCUAGUUGGUAGGGUAAUGGCCUACCAAGGCUAUGACGGUUAGGGGACCUGAGAGGGUGGCCCCCCACAAUGGAACUGAAACACGGUCCAUACACCUACGGGUGGCAGCAGUAGGGAAUAUUGGUAAUCUGCGAAAGCGGGAACCAGCAACGCCGCGUGUGCGAUGAAGGCCUUCGGGUUGUAAAGCACUUUUCGGGAGGAAGAGGAAGGACUGUACUCCCGGAAUAAGUCUCGGCUAACUACGUG
This 464-nucleotide ribosomal RNA is filed under the name uncultured bacterium. RNAcentral's name for it is "bacterial SSU rRNA". It matches the Rfam family "Bacterial small subunit ribosomal RNA", at positions 27 to 507 of the family's 1533-position model. The record is from RNAcentral.